GUUUGAUCAUGGCUCAGAACGAACGCUGGCGGCAUGCCUAACACAUGCAAGUCGAACGCGUGUAGCAAUACACGAGUGGCGCACGGGUGAGUAACGCGUGGGAACCUGCCCUGGAGUGUGGGAUAACCCGGCGAAAGCCGGGCUAAUACCGCAUACGACCUGAGGGUGAAAGAUUUAUCGCUCUAGGAGGGGCCCGCGUCGGAUUAGCUAGUUGGUGAGGUAACGGCUCACCAAGGCGAUGAUCCGUAGCUGGUCUGAGAGGAUGAUCAGCCACACUGGGACUGAGACACGGCCCAGACUCCUACGGGAGGCAGCAGUGGGGAAUAUUGGACAAUGGGGGCAACCCUGAUCCAGCAAUGCCGCGUGGGCGAUGAAGGCCUUCGGGUUGUAAAGCCCUUUUGCACGCGACGAUGAUGACGGUAGCGUGAGAAGAAGCCCCGGCUAACUUCGUGCCAGCAGCCGCGGUAAUAACCUAAAUAGC
RNAcentral lists this ribosomal RNA (481 nucleotides) under uncultured bacterium. RNAcentral's name for it is "bacterial SSU rRNA". It matches the Rfam family "Bacterial small subunit ribosomal RNA", at positions 11 to 535 of the family's 1533-position model. The record is from RNAcentral.